AGGUGUGAGGUCACACCACAACUCUCACCUCACUAAUUUCUGUGGUGGAGUAGACAGGUCUGAGAUAACUAAAAUGACUCCUUCCCCCCUCCUCACCAUUUAUGAGUAUUCCUUCCAAAGUGGCAUUCUUGGUCAAUGAAGAGGACCUUCCCUGAUAGCAGAAGUCCAUUUUUUGGGGGUCAAGGGUUUAUGUGUACCUGUGCUCCCCUGCUAAAAAGACCCAAUAGACUGUCAAGGUUCAACUCCCUCACAGAGAUGCAAGACUUGGCAUACCCUAAACUGAACCCACAGUCUCA
Molecule: small nuclear RNA, 296 nt
Filed under: Peromyscus maniculatus bairdii (prairie deer mouse)
Lineage: Eukaryota; Metazoa; Chordata; Mammalia; Rodentia; Cricetidae
Description: 7SK RNA (ENSPEMG00000003549.2)
Rfam family: 7SK RNA
About the family: 7SK was discovered as an abundant small nuclear RNA in the mid-70s but a possible function has only recently been suggested.
Source: Rfam by way of RNAcentral